AAUAGCUCAAUUGGAAGAGCAACUGACUUGUAAUCAGUAGGUUGCGGGUUCGAUUCCUGCUUAAUGA
Molecule: transfer RNA, 67 nt
Filed under: Candidatus Phytoplasma melaleucae
Lineage: Bacteria; Bacillati; Mycoplasmatota; Mollicutes; Acholeplasmatales; Acholeplasmataceae
Description: tRNA-Thr
Rfam family: tRNA
About the family: Transfer RNA (tRNA) molecules are approximately 80 nucleotides in length. Their secondary structure includes four short double-helical elements and three loops (D, anti-codon, and T loops).
Source: RNAcentral